This is a non-coding RNA of Podarcis lilfordi (Lilford's wall lizard), 206 nucleotides long. Lineage: Eukaryota; Metazoa; Chordata; Lepidosauria; Squamata; Lacertidae. The record is from the annotation of a GenBank genome assembly.
GUGCGCUGAGGGACAAAGGAGCUCCCUUAGCCACGACACCUUGAGGGGUCAAGGCCGAUGGAGCUUGUUCCUUUGCUCUCUGGGAACCGGCAGCCACCCAUCGCCUCCACCCAUUGCCAGUGCCCAGAAUGUAGAGGAACAAGCUCCAUGAGUCCCGAUCCUGCAAGGCGCUGUGGCCAAGGGAGCUUGUUUCUCCCUCAGCGUGC